UGACCUCACACCAAAGUCCAGGCCUCCCGCCUGGCUGAGCGCGGAGAAUGCUGAGUGUGAACUUAGUAACUAAAGAUGGCUACUUCAUUUAAAUAUACAUAUAUAUACCUUGAAUGUGAAACUAUUCUGUGUUAUUUAUCUUUCAUUCAGGGUGUCAAAAUGUAUCCAGGCUCCUUGGCAUGCCAUCACAGAGCACGAAGCUUCCCUAGUGGCAUUUAGCCACUUAGAAACCAUCAGCACUAAAGGUUCAAGUCGUUAAAAGGCAAAGUGAAAGAGCGUUUCUGGGACAAGGUGAACUUUCUGCCUGUUUUCUU
Molecule: long non-coding RNA, 314 nt
Filed under: Pan troglodytes (chimpanzee)
Lineage: Eukaryota; Metazoa; Chordata; Mammalia; Primates; Hominidae
Description: long non-coding RNA NONPTRT009915
Source: RNAcentral